GACGAACGCUGGCGGCGUGCUUAACACAUGUAAGUCGAACGGUGAAGCGAGUGCUUGCACUCGUGGAUCAGUGGCGAACGGGUGGGUAACACGUGAGUAACCUGCCCAUCACUCUGGGAUAAGCACUGGAAACGGUGUCUAAUACUGGAUACGACCAACCCUUGCAUGGGGUGUUGGUGGAAAGAUUUAUCGGUGAUGGAUGGACUCGCGGCCUAUCAGCUUGUUGGCGGGGUAAUGGCCCACCAAGGCGACGACGGGUAGCCGGCCUGAGAGGGUGACCGGCCACACUGGGACUGAGACACGGCCCAGACUCCUACGGGAGGCAGCAGUGGGGAAUAUUGCACAAUGGGCGAAAGCCUGAUGCAGCGACGCCGCGUGAGGGAUGACGGCCUUCGGGUUGUAAACCUCUUUCAGCAGGGAAGAAGCGAAAGUGACGGUACCUGCAGAAGAAGCACCGGCUAACUACGUG
Molecule: ribosomal RNA, 469 nt
Filed under: uncultured bacterium
Lineage: Bacteria
Description: partial 16S ribosomal RNA
Rfam family: Bacterial small subunit ribosomal RNA
Source: RNAcentral